Molecule: ribosomal RNA, 245 nt
Filed under: uncultured bacterium
Lineage: Bacteria
Description: partial 16S ribosomal RNA
Rfam family: Bacterial small subunit ribosomal RNA
Source: RNAcentral
GACGGAGGGGGCGAGCGUUGUUCGGAAUUACUGGGCGUAAAGAGCGUGUAGGUGGUAUAGCAAGUCAGAAGUGAAAGCCCUAGGCUUAACCUAGGAAAUGCUUUUGAAACUGCUUGUACUAGAGUGCUGAAGAGGGUAGUGGAAUUCCUAGUGUAGAGGUGAAAUUCUUAGAUAUUAGGAGGAACGCCGGAGGCGAAGGCUAUUACCUGGGCAAAUACUGACACUGAGACGCGAAAGCGUGGGGA